CCUUUAACGAGGAUCCAUUGUAGGGCAAGUCUGGUGCCAGCAGCCGCCGUUAUUCCAGCUCCAAUAGCGUAUAUUAAAGUUGUUGCAGUUAAAAAGCUUGUAGUUGGAUCUCGGGUGCCGCCGCGGGCGGUUCGCUUUGCAGCGACCACUGCCCACGCUCAUGGCGCCGGUGCGCCGUCAUCCCCGCACGCGCUCUUUGCUGAGCGCCGUGCGAGGCCGGCCAGUCAGGCUUGAAUAAUGGUGCAUGGAUGAAGUAGGGAGUAGGACCUUGUAGAAUCUAUUUUGUUGGUCUCCGGAAUCCGAGGUAAUGAUUAAGAGGGACAGACGGGGGCAUUCGUAUCACGGGUUAGAGGUAAAAUUCUUGGAUCCCUUCUUGGAUCUUAGUCGUACAGAAGCGAUUAUGCUUUGAUAUAUUGUAUCUUGGAUAUAAUGUACUCAUGAUUUUAAACGACGUAAAAUAAACCACAAUUAAUUAAAUGAAUGAAUGAGACGCACGACUACGAAAUCAUUUACUAAGAAUUCAAGAACGAAAGUCAGAGGUUCGAAGACGAUCAGAUAUCGUCCUAGUUCUGACCAUAAACGAUGCGGACUGUCGAUCCGCCGGCGUCGUUUCCCGUGACCCGACAGGCAGCCUCUCAGAAAUGAAAG
Molecule: ribosomal RNA, 648 nt
Filed under: Shinkai longipedata
Lineage: Eukaryota; Metazoa; Annelida; Polychaeta; Phyllodocida; Nautiliniellidae
Description: partial 18S ribosomal RNA
Rfam family: Eukaryotic small subunit ribosomal RNA
Source: RNAcentral